CCUACGGGGGGCAGCAGUGGGGAAUAUUGCACAAUGGGCGAAAGCCUGAUGCAGCAACGCCGCGUGAAGGAAGAAGGGCUUCGGCUCGUAAACUUCUAUCAGCAGGGACGAAAGAAAUGACGGUACCAGAAUAAGCAGCCCCGGCUAACUACGGGCCAGCAGCCGCGGUAAUACGUAGGGGGCAAGCGUUAUGCGGAAUUACUGGGGGUAAAGGGUGAGUAGGCGGCAUGGUAAGCCAGAUGUGAAAGCCUUGGGCUUAACCCGAGGAUUGCAGUUGGAACUAUCAAGCUAGAGUACAGGAGAGGAAGGCGGAAUUCCUGGUGUAGCGGUGAAAUGCGUAGAUAUUAGGAGGAACACCAGUGGCGAAGGCGGCCUUCUGGACUGAAACUGACGCUGAGGCACGAAAGCGUGGGGAGCGAACAGGAUUAGAUACCCGAGUAGUC
RNAcentral lists this ribosomal RNA (443 nucleotides) under uncultured bacterium. RNAcentral's name for it is "partial 16S ribosomal RNA". It matches the Rfam family "Bacterial small subunit ribosomal RNA", at positions 338 to 795 of the family's 1533-position model. The record is from RNAcentral.